GAUUAGCUCAGUUGGUUAGAGCACUUGCCUUACAAGCAAGGGGUCGGGAGUUCGAGUCUCUCAUCGC
RNAcentral lists this transfer RNA (67 nucleotides) under bovine gut metagenome. It matches the Rfam family "tRNA", at positions 5 to 66 of the family's 71-position model. From Rfam's summary of the family: Transfer RNA (tRNA) molecules are approximately 80 nucleotides in length. Their secondary structure includes four short double-helical elements and three loops (D, anti-codon, and T loops). The record is from RNAcentral.